UACGUAGGUGGCAAGCGUUGUCCGGAUUUAUUGGGCGUAAAGCGCGCGCAGGCGGUUCGUUAAGUUCGAGGUGAAAUCUCCUGGCUCAACUGGGAGGGGUCUUCGGAUACUGGCGGACUUGAGGAGAGCAGAGGUGAGUGGAAUUCUCGGUGUAGUGGUGAAAUGCGUAGAUAUCGAGAGGAACACCAGCGGCGAAGGCGGCUCACUGGGCUCCACCUGACGCUGAGGCGCGAAAGCGUGGGGAGCGAACCGG
Molecule: ribosomal RNA, 253 nt
Filed under: uncultured bacterium
Lineage: Bacteria
Also listed under: 1 other name
Description: partial 16S ribosomal RNA
Rfam family: Bacterial small subunit ribosomal RNA
Source: RNAcentral